RNAcentral lists this unclassified non-coding RNA (400 nucleotides) under uncultured fungus. Its description in RNAcentral is "sequence contains ITS1". Lineage: Eukaryota; Fungi. The record is from RNAcentral.
ACGUCAUCCCCACCUUCCUCUCCAUUAUCUGGAGCAGUCCACGUAGAGUUCCCUCCUUGCGGAGUGGCAACUACGUGCAAGGGUUGCGCUCGUUGCGGGACUUAACCCAACACCUCACGGCACGAGCUGACGACAGCCAUGCAGCGCCUCCACACCUGUCCCUUGCGGGAAGGCCGUGUUUCCACAGCUGGUCAGGUGCGCUUCGAGCCCAGGUAAGGUUCCUCGCGUAGCGUCGAAUUGAACCACAUGUUCCACCGCUUGUGCGGGCCCCCGUCAAUUCCUUUGAGUUUCAGUCUUGCGACCGUACUCCCCAGGUGCAGGACUUAACGCGUUAGCUCCGGGACGACACCCGAACGGGUGGCACCCCAAGUCCUGAUCGUUUAGGGCUAGGACUACCAGG